GGAGAACUAUAACUGGAGGACAGAAGGGCAUGAUCUAAUGGUAAUAAACUGGGAAAAUUUUAGCAAGGUCUAUUUUGUUCAAAUCCUUCUUAGUGUGUCUGUUUCUUCCAGGAUAAAGAUAUUCCCUUCCUCAGGGUACAGGGAGGGUACCUCUUAUGAACUACUUUACAGGAAGGUCAGAGAAUUCAUUUACGGCCUGCUUCAGGAGAGAAAGGCAAGAGGAAGGUCAGAGAGACUUUCCUACUACUGCUGUUUUCUUCAAUACUAAAGUACCAUAUUUUGGGAUUGCGUGUCCUGAACUCCUUCAACUAAUUGGUACAAGAACGAGGAAGCCUCCGUGAAAGCCAAGCUGGAAAAGAGAGCAUGGUAUAUUCUAAACCAGUGGCUGUACCUUCAUUAGCAUAACAUAAUAAAUAAGUUAUGUGCCUUGGAAUGAAGAAUGUGCUUGGAGAGGGUGAGAAAGGAAUAUCCCUUCCAUGGCUGACUUGUAAGGAAGUGAAAGAAUGCAACCAAACCAUUGUUAAAGUGGAUGUUGAUGGGAUUCUUGCAUUGAGGAGACUGGACCAGAUGAUCCCUAAGGUCCCUCCCAAUGAAUUUCUUAUGAAUUUCCAUAUGUCAUUCACACUACAUCCCACUGCCAGGUAUGCAAAAUGUGUGGAUCUACUAACGUUGCCUCAAUUUUAAAAGCUCACAAAAACCAAACUCUAGCAUUUUUUCUUCCCAUUUUAAGAAUGUACCUUUCUUCUUCUGGGUGGUUCAUCAUGCCAGCCUCUAUGUUCCCAGGGCACCUUGUACUUGUCUCUCUCUCUCUUUCUCUCAGCCCUUAUCACACUGAAUGGUAAAGAGUCAUUCUUAAUCUGCCUUCUACCACCAAACUAGGAGCUCCCUAAAAGGCAG
RNAcentral lists this long non-coding RNA (897 nucleotides) under Pan paniscus (pygmy chimpanzee). Its description in RNAcentral is "lncRNA (ENSPPAG00000045246.1)". The record is from RNAcentral. Lineage: Eukaryota; Metazoa; Chordata; Mammalia; Primates; Hominidae.